RNAcentral lists this ribosomal RNA (578 nucleotides) under uncultured bacterium. RNAcentral describes it as "bacterial SSU rRNA". It matches the Rfam family "Bacterial small subunit ribosomal RNA", at positions 33 to 643 of the family's 1533-position model. The record is from RNAcentral.
ACGCUGGCGGCGUGCCUAACACAUGCAAGUCGAACGAGAAAGUGGAGCAAUCCAUGAGUAAAGUGGCGACCGGGUGAGUAACACGUGACUAACCUACCUCCGAGUGGGGAAUAACUCCGGGAAACCGGGGCUAAUACCGCAUAACAUCGCAAGAUCAAAGCAGCAAUGCGCUUGGAGAGGGGGUCGCGGCUGAUUAGCUAGUUGGCGGGGUAACGGCCCACCAAGGCGAAGAUCGGUAUCCGGCCUGAGAGGGCGCACGGACACACUGGAACUGAAACACGGUCCAGACUCCUACGGGAGGCAGCAGUGGGGAAUUUUGCGCAAUGGGGGAAACCCUGACGCAGCAACGCCGCGUGGAGGAUGAAGCCCUUUGGGGCGUAAACUCCUUUCGACUCGGACGAUAAUGACGGUACGAGUGGAAGAAGCACCGGCUAACUCUGUGCCAGCAGCCGCGGUAAUACAGAGGGUGCAAGCGUUGUUCGGAAUUAUUGGGCGUAAAGGGCGCGUAGGCGGUGCGGUAAGUCACCUGUGAAAUCUCCUGGCUUAACUGGGAGCCUGCAGGCGAAACUACCGUGCUG